UACGAAGGGGGCUAGGGUUGUUCGGAAUUACUGGGCGUAAAGGGCGCGUAGGCGGUGUGUCAAGUCAGGCGUGAAAGCCCCGGGCUCAACCUGGGAACCGCGCUUGAGACUGGCACGCUAGAGUUCGGGAGAGGAUGGUGGAAUUCCCAGUGUAGAGGUGAAAUUCGUAGAUAUUGGGAAGAACACCGAUGGCGAAGGCAGCCAUCUGGACCGACACUGACGCUGAGGCGCGAAAGCUAGGGGAGCGAACGGG
Molecule: ribosomal RNA, 253 nt
Filed under: uncultured bacterium
Lineage: Bacteria
Description: partial 16S ribosomal RNA
Rfam family: Bacterial small subunit ribosomal RNA
Source: RNAcentral